GUGGGGAAUCUUGCGCAAUGGGCGAAAGCCUGACGCAGCCAUGCCGCGUGAAUGAUGAAGGUCUUAGGAUUGUAAAAUUCUUUCACCGGGGAAGAUAAUGACGGUACCCGGAGAAGAAGCCCCGGCUAACUUCGUGCCAGCAGCCGCGGUAAUACGAAGGGGGCUAGCGUUGCUCGGAAUUACUGGGCGUAAAGGGCGCGUAGGCGGACAUUUAAGUCAGAGGUGAAAGCCCAGGGCUCAACCUUGGAAUUGCCUUUGAUACUGGAUGUCUUGAGUUCGGGAGAGGUGAGUGGAAUGCCGAGUGUAGAGGUGAAAUUCGUAGAUAUUCGGCGGAACACCAGUGGCGAAGGCGACUCACUGGCCCGAUACUGACGCUGAGGCGCGAAAGCGUGGGGAGCAAACAGGAUUAGAAACCCGUGUAGUCC
This 425-nucleotide ribosomal RNA is filed under the name uncultured bacterium. Its description in RNAcentral is "bacterial SSU rRNA". It matches the Rfam family "Bacterial small subunit ribosomal RNA", at positions 354 to 796 of the family's 1533-position model. The record is from RNAcentral.